UGGGGAAUAUUGGACAAUGGGCGAAAGCCUGAUCCAGCCAUGCCGCGUGUGUGAAGAAGGUCUUCGGAUUGUAAAGCACUUUAAGUUGGGAGGAAGGGCAGUUACCUAAUACGUGAUUGUCUUGACGUUACCGACAGAAUAAGCACCGGCUAACUCUGUGCCAGCAGCCGCGGUAAUACAGAGGGUGCAAGCGUUAAUCGGAAUUACUGGGCGUAAAGCGCGCGUAGGUGGUUAGUUAAGUUGGAUGUGAAAUCCCCGGGCUCAACCUGGGAACUGCAUUCAAAACUGACUGACUAGAGUAUGGUAGAGGGUGGUGGAAUUUCCUGUGUAGCGGUGAAAUGCGUAGAUAUAGGAAGGAACACCAGUGGCGAAGGCGACCACCUGGACUGAUACUGACACUGAGGUGCGAAAGCGUGGGGAGCAAACAGGAUUAGAU
RNAcentral lists this ribosomal RNA (436 nucleotides) under uncultured bacterium. RNAcentral's name for it is "bacterial SSU rRNA". It matches the Rfam family "Bacterial small subunit ribosomal RNA", at positions 355 to 783 of the family's 1533-position model. The record is from RNAcentral.